GAUGAACGCUGGCGGCGUGCCUAAUACAUGCAAGUCGAGCGAACAGACGAGGAGCUUGCUCCUCUGACGUUAGCGGCGGACGGGUGAGUAACACGUGGAUAACCUACCUAUAAGACUGGGAUAACUUCGGGAAACCGGAGCUAAUACCGGAUAAUAUAUUGAACCGCAUGGUUCAAUAGUGAAAGACGGUUUUGCUGUCACUUAUAGAUGGAUCCGCGCCGCAUUAGCUAGUUGGUAAGGUAACGGCUUACCAAGGCGACGAUGCGUAGCCGACCUGAGAGGGUGAUCGGCCACCCUGGAGCUGGGACACGGUCCAGACUCCUACGGGAGGCAGCAGUAGGGAAUCUUCCGCAAUGGGCGAAAGCCUGACGGAGCAACGCCGCGUGAGUGAUGAAGGUCUUCGGAUCGUAAAACUCUGUUAUUAGGGAAGAACAAAUGUGUAAGUAACUAUGCACGUCUUGACGGUACCUAAUCAGAAAGCAACGGCUAACUACGUG
Molecule: ribosomal RNA, 497 nt
Filed under: uncultured bacterium
Lineage: Bacteria
Description: partial 16S ribosomal RNA
Rfam family: Bacterial small subunit ribosomal RNA
Source: RNAcentral